UACGGAGGGUGCGAGCGUUGUCCGGAAUCACUGGGCGUAAAGCGCGCGUAGGCGGCUUUGUAAGUUAGAGGUGAAAGCCCGGGGCUCAACUCCGGAACUGCCUUUAAGACUGCAUCGCUUGAAUCCGGGAGAGGUGAGUGGAAUUCCGAGUGUAGAGGUGAAAUUCGUAGAUAUUCGGAAGAACACCAGUGGCGAAGGCGGCUCACUGGACCGGUAUUGACGCUGAGGUGCGAAAGCGUGGGGAGCAAACAGG
RNAcentral lists this ribosomal RNA (253 nucleotides) under uncultured bacterium. Its description in RNAcentral is "partial 16S ribosomal RNA". It matches the Rfam family "Bacterial small subunit ribosomal RNA", at positions 524 to 776 of the family's 1533-position model. The record is from RNAcentral.